GGAUUAGAUACCCUGGUAGUCCACGCCGUAAACGAUGACGACUAGCUAUCGGGGCUCUUAGAGCUUCGGUGGCGCAGCUAACGCAUUAAGUCGUCCGCCUGGGGAGUAUGGCCGCAAGGUUAAAACUCAAAGGAAUUGACGGGGGCAUGCACAAGCGGUGGAGCAUGUGGUUUAAUUCGAAGCAACGCGCAGAACCUUACCAGCGUUUGACAUGGUAGGACGACUUCCAGAGAUGGAUUUCUCCCUUCGGGGCCUACACACAGGUGCUGCAUGGCUGUCGUCAGCUCGUGUCG
RNAcentral lists this ribosomal RNA (293 nucleotides) under uncultured bacterium. RNAcentral describes it as "partial 16S ribosomal RNA". It matches the Rfam family "Bacterial small subunit ribosomal RNA", at positions 775 to 1067 of the family's 1533-position model. The record is from RNAcentral.